Molecule: long non-coding RNA, 615 nt
Organism: Pseudophryne corroboree (corroboree frog)
Lineage: Eukaryota; Metazoa; Chordata; Amphibia; Anura; Myobatrachidae
Exons: 3
Source: RefSeq, a predicted model, not a curated record
AGAUGGCUGCCAGGGAGGGGGAGGGGUUCUAUCUCCAUAUAUGCUGCUGCCCAUCCAUAUAGCCCCUGCCCCCUGCACUGCAUAGUGCUUGUGUAACCAGGGAGUGGUGCUGAUCACAACAAGCAGAGACAGCAGAGACAGACACCUAUAAAGAGACAGACUGAGACACACACACACACAAGAGAUGGUGUGAUUAAUAAUUAGUGCUUGCCGCUAUGUGGCUCGCAAGAUUGCAGGUUCCAGGCAUGAGGAAGGCAAGGAGGAGAAGGGAGCAGCCAUCGGCUCUGGGGUGCCAUCAUGUGCCCUGCGCAAAGGUUGUAAGAAAGACAAGGCGGUAAAAUCUCAGCCAUCGACCUUUUCCACCCCGUUGACCUCAGACAUCGCAGGAGAGUCCCCAAAUUCACCUGCCACCUCGUCACGUGACCCUGUGCCCUAUUAAUAGCACCCCCUCUCAGUGAGGAAGAAGAGGAUGUAGGCUGUAUGUGGUCACUUUCCCCAGAUACAGGGCAGCGUAGUAGCAGAAUGAUCCUCCUCCCAGCAGCCUCUGAAGGAAAGAGGUUGGGAGGAGGUGAGAGAGGCCGCUGCUGUGUUUCUGAAUAAAGAUCUGUAAAAUGA